AGAAAAUUUAGUCAAAUCCUGUCUGUUGACUUUUCUAUUCCUAUUUUCUUCAUGAUACCUAUAAAUAUGUGAUAUUUAGACAUAUUUUUGGAUCAAUAAUAAUCAGUCAUUCAAAGUUUUUAAGAAGUUGCGGGAAUUUUUCCAGGUUUUAGUCUAGUGUUAAACCUUUUUUCUUUUCUUUCUCGCUUCAGUCAUUGAUUUCUGGAGCAAUGCACUUGAUAAAGGUGAAUUGGAUUUUAUUCUUCUCUAUACGUACAUGAUAUCAUGGUUGAGUGAUAUUGUCAAUGCUUUUUACAUCUAAUGUAUAUGAGAAUUAACUUGUUAAUAUUUGUAUUUAUUACAUUUCUGCAAUAAGUUAUGUAUGAAUGGUU
RNAcentral lists this unclassified non-coding RNA (371 nucleotides) under Hevea brasiliensis (rubber tree). Lineage: Eukaryota; Viridiplantae; Streptophyta; Magnoliopsida; Malpighiales; Euphorbiaceae. The record is from RNAcentral.